AUACGGAGGGUGCGAGCGUUGUUCGGAAUUAUUGGGCGUAAAGAGCAUGUAGGCGGUCUGUUAAGUCUGGUGUGAAAGCCCGGGGCUCAACCCCGGAAGUGCAUUGGAUACUGGCAGACUUGAGGAUGGGAGAGGAAAGCGGAAUUCCGAGUGUAGGAGUGAAAUCCGUAGAUAUUCGGAGGAACACCAGUGGCGAAGGCGGCUUUCUGGACCAAUACUGACGCUGAGAUGCGAAAGCGUGGGGAGCGAACAGAAUUAGAUACCCUAGUAGUCC
RNAcentral lists this ribosomal RNA (274 nucleotides) under uncultured bacterium. RNAcentral describes it as "partial 16S ribosomal RNA". It matches the Rfam family "Bacterial small subunit ribosomal RNA", at positions 523 to 796 of the family's 1533-position model. The record is from RNAcentral.